AGGCAUUGAUUGCAAGUUCUUUUGCAAAGCAUGAUUACAAAAGAGUGAAAGAAAUUACGUUAUGUGUCUUAAAGAUUGGACUUCUUAUGGGAAUCACCCUAGCUCUAAUUCUUUUUGUCUCAUUUGACAAUGUUGCUGAAUUAUUCACCAAGGAUGUAGAAUUACUAACUAUUGUUAGAAGUGGGGUGGUGUUUGUCAGUGCCAGCCAACCCAUUAACGCUCUCGCUUUCAUUUUUGAUGGACUUCACUAUGGUGUUUCGGAUUUUGCUUAUUCUGCUUAU
Long non-coding RNA from Phalaenopsis equestris, 281 nucleotides. RefSeq lists it as uncharacterized. The transcript has 3 exons. The record is from RefSeq and is a predicted model, not a curated record. Lineage: Eukaryota; Viridiplantae; Streptophyta; Magnoliopsida; Asparagales; Orchidaceae.